ACGCACGCUGGCGGCGUGCUUAACCCCUGCCAGUCGAACGAUGAAGCCUUAGCUUGCUUUGGUGGAUUAGUGGCGAACGGGUGAGUAACACGUGAGCAACGUGCCCAGGACUCUGGAAUAACCGCGGGAAACCGUGGCUAAUACCGGAUAGGUGCCGAGGCCGCAUGGUCUUCGGUUGGAAAGUUUUUGCGGUUCUGGAUCGGCUCACGGCCUAUCAGCUUGUUGGUGGGGUAAUGGCCUACCAAGGCGACGACGGGUAGCCGGCCUGAGAGGGUGACCGGCCACACUGGGACUGAGACACGGCCCAGACUCCUACGGGAGGCAGCAGUGGGGAAUAUUGCACAAUGGGCGCAAGCCUGAUGCAGCAACGCCGCGUGGGGGAUGACGGCCUUCGGGUUGUAAACCUCUUUUAGUAGGGAAGAAGCGCAAGUGACGGUACCUGCAGAAAAAGCACCGGCUAACUACGUG
This 468-nucleotide ribosomal RNA is filed under the name uncultured bacterium. Its description in RNAcentral is "partial 16S ribosomal RNA". It matches the Rfam family "Bacterial small subunit ribosomal RNA", at positions 29 to 507 of the family's 1533-position model. The record is from RNAcentral.